Molecule: non-coding RNA, 245 nt
Organism: Cinara cedri
Lineage: Eukaryota; Metazoa; Arthropoda; Insecta; Hemiptera; Aphididae
Source: the annotation of a GenBank genome assembly
CAACUCUCAGUGAUAAUUACGAUGAAACCUAACGAGUUGCUGUUGAAUACUACAACAAUGAAAAACAAAUUGCCGUCAGAAUAGCGCUAAAAUAGCUGAAUAUUAAAAUCACUACUGCUGCUAUUGGCAUUUUUUGUCGAUUAAACGUUUCAAUGAUAUACAUAAAUAUAUACAUACAUUUUUUGUUUAUCGUAUGUACACUACUACUAUAUUUUAUUAUGGUUUUAGGUGUUUGUUUCUAUUUU